RNAcentral lists this ribosomal RNA (316 nucleotides) under uncultured bacterium. RNAcentral describes it as "bacterial SSU rRNA". It matches the Rfam family "Bacterial small subunit ribosomal RNA", at positions 28 to 334 of the family's 1533-position model. The record is from RNAcentral.
GAUAAACGCUGGCGGCGCACAUAAGACAUGCAAGUCGAACGGACUUAACUCAUUCUUUUAGAUUGAGAGCGGUUAGUGGCGGACUGGUGAGUAACACGUAAGCAACCUGCCUAUCAGAGGGGAAUAACAACGAGAAAUCGUUGCUAAUACCGCAUAAGCUAGUAGCAUCGCAUGAUGUAGCUAGAAAAGGGGCAAUCCGCUGAUAGAUGGGCUUGCGUCUGAUUAGUUAGUUGGUAGGGUAACGGCCUACCAAGACGAUGAUCAGUAGCUGGACUGAGAGGUUGAACGGCCACAUUGGGACUGAGAUACGGCCCAG